UCCGUAAGUGAACCUGCGGCAGGAUCAUUA
RNAcentral lists this ribosomal RNA (30 nucleotides) under Clavispora lusitaniae. RNAcentral describes it as "partial 18S ribosomal RNA". Lineage: Eukaryota; Fungi; Ascomycota; Pichiomycetes; Serinales; Metschnikowiaceae. The record is from RNAcentral.